GCUAAGAUGGCAGAACCCGGUUAUUGCAAAAGACCUAAGCCCUUUCUAUGGGGGUUCAAGUCCCCCUCUUAACU
Non-coding RNA from Scophthalmus maximus (turbot), 74 nucleotides. NCBI's taxonomy places the organism in Eukaryota, Metazoa, Chordata, Actinopteri, Pleuronectiformes, Scophthalmidae. The record is from Ensembl.